This 72-nucleotide transfer RNA is filed under the name Camelus dromedarius (Arabian camel). It matches the Rfam family "tRNA". Rfam says of the family: Transfer RNA (tRNA) molecules are approximately 80 nucleotides in length. Their secondary structure includes four short double-helical elements and three loops (D, anti-codon, and T loops). The record is from Rfam by way of RNAcentral. RNAcentral also lists the same sequence under 1 other name. Lineage: Eukaryota; Metazoa; Chordata; Mammalia; Artiodactyla; Camelidae.
GAGGGUAUAGCCCAGUGGUAGAGUGCAUGCCUAGCAUGCAUGAGGUCCUGGGUUCAAUCCCCAAUGCCUCCA